RNAcentral lists this transfer RNA (72 nucleotides) under Cavia porcellus (domestic guinea pig). It matches the Rfam family "tRNA". From Rfam's summary of the family: Transfer RNA (tRNA) molecules are approximately 80 nucleotides in length. Their secondary structure includes four short double-helical elements and three loops (D, anti-codon, and T loops). The record is from Rfam by way of RNAcentral. Lineage: Eukaryota; Metazoa; Chordata; Mammalia; Rodentia; Caviidae.
GGGGAUAUAGCUCAGUGAUAGAGUGCUUGCCUAGCAUGCACAAGGGCCUGAGUUCAAUCCCCAGUACCACUA